RNAcentral lists this ribosomal RNA (529 nucleotides) under Penicillium citreonigrum. Its description in RNAcentral is "eukaryotic LSU rRNA". The stretch from base 145 to 298 matches the Rfam family "5.8S ribosomal RNA". Lineage: Eukaryota; Fungi; Ascomycota; Eurotiomycetes; Eurotiales; Aspergillaceae. The record is from RNAcentral.
AGGGGCUAGGGGGGGCGGGUCAUCGGGGCACCUCCCACCCGUGUUGCCCGAACCUAUGUUGCCUCGGCGGGCCCCGCGCCCGCCGACGGCCCCCCUGAACGCUGUCUGAAGUUGCAGUCUGAGACCUAUAACGAAAUUAGUUAAAACUUUCAACAACGGAUCUCUUGGUUCCGGCAUCGAUGAAGAACGCAGCGAAAUGCGAUAACUAAUGUGAAUUGCAGAAUUCAGUGAAUCAUCGAGUCUUUGAACGCACAUUGCGCCCUCUGGUAUUCCGGAGGGCAUGCCUGUCCGAGCGUCAUUGCUGCCCUCAAGCCCGGCUUGUGUGUUGGGCCCCGUCCCCCCCGCCGGGGGGACGGGCCCGAAAGGCAGCGGCGGCACCGCGUCCGGUCCUCGAGCGUAUGGGGCUUCGUCACCCGCUCUAGUAGGCCCGGCCGGCGCCAGCCGACCCCCAACCUUUAAUUAUCUCAGGUUGACCUCGGAUCAGGUAGGGAUACCCGCUGAACUUAAGCAUAUCAUAACCGGGGAGGAA